This 1056-nucleotide ribosomal RNA is filed under the name Triticum aestivum (bread wheat). RNAcentral describes it as "partial small subunit ribosomal RNA". Lineage: Eukaryota; Viridiplantae; Streptophyta; Magnoliopsida; Poales; Poaceae. The record is from RNAcentral.
AUGGGGAGGGCGCCGUGCUGCGACAAGAACAACGUGAAGAAAGGGCCAUGGUCGCCGGAGGAGGACGCCAAGCUCAAGGAGUUCAUGGACAAGCACGGCACCGGCGGCAACUGGAUCGCCCUCCCGCAGAAAGCAGGGUUGAGAAGAUGUGGCAAAAGUUGUAGGCUUAGAUGGCUAAACUACCUGAGGCCUAACAUUAAGCAUGGGGAGUUCACUGAGCAUGAAGAUAGGGUCAUCUGCAGCAUGUAUGCAAGCAUUGGAAGCAGGUGGUCGAUCAUCGCGUCGCAGCUCCCCGGCCGGACUGACAAUGACAUCAAGAACUACUGGAACACCAAGCUGAAGAAGAAGCUCAUGGGCUCCACCACCAUGGCCGGUGCCGGCCCUCCGCCGCGCGCGCCACGGCAGAACCACCACCAACACCGGCCGGUCCUGCUGCCCUACUCAUCGUCGCCCCACUCCAACUACAGCAACUUCUUCCCCGGCGCCAGGGCCCUCCUCCAGCAGUCCGCGGAACCUCUAACCUUACAACCACAGGACCACUACAUGCUCGGUAGCUCAGGCUCCCUGAAUCCCAUGGCUAACAACAACGGCGCCUCCGCGGUACAGCUACAGAUGCUGCACGCAACGGCGGCCCACCGGCAGCUGCAGGUGAAGGAGGAAUGCGGCAGCGGCGGCGCCAUGAUCGCGUUCGGCUGCGGCGACCAGCAGAGCUGCAGCUCGUCGGACGCGACGCAGUACGCCGGCGGCCAUUACGUGCACGGCGGCCGCCACCACGGGAAGGAGAUGAGCUUCGACAACAACAACGGGUACAGCGCGUACGGAAUGUACGGCGCCGGCGCCGGCGCCGUGGAGCAGGAGCACAAGCUGUCGUUUCAGCUUCAGCACCAGCAGGAGCAGCAGCAGCAGGCGCAGCUGGACUACAGCUACGAGGAGAUCAAGCAGCUGCUCAUGACAGCGGCGGCGAGCGGUGGCGACGGGAGCGGCGGCCUGAUCCACGACCCGGAGCUGAUCGGCGCCCACGCGGCGGCCGCCGCCGGGAAGCUGACGAUGAUGUAA